AUUGAACGCUGGCGGCAUGCCUUACACAUGCAAGUCGAACGGUAACAGGUCUUCGGAUGCUGACGAGUGGCGAACGGGUGAGUAAUGCAUCGGAACGUGCCCAGUUGUGGGGGAUAACUGCUCGAAAGAGCAGCUAAUACCGCAUACGACCUGAGUGUGAAAGCGGGGGAUCGCAAGACCUCGCGCAAUUGGAGCGGCCGAUGUCAGAUUAGGUAGUUGGUGGGGUAAAGGCCUAGCAAGCCGACGAUCUGUAGUUGGUCUGAGAGGACGACCAGCCACACUGGGAGUGAGACACGGCCCAGACUCCUACGGGAGGCAGCAGUGGGGAAUAUUGGACAAUGGGCGCAAGCCUGAUCCAGCAAUGCCGCGUGUAGGAAGAAGGCCUUCGGGUUGUAAACUGCUUUUGUCAGGGAAGAAAUCCUCUGGGUUAAUACCCCGGGGGGAUGACGGUACCUGAAGAAUAAGCACCGGCUAACUACGUGCCAGCCGCCGCCGUAA
Molecule: ribosomal RNA, 498 nt
Filed under: uncultured bacterium
Lineage: Bacteria
Description: partial 16S ribosomal RNA
Rfam family: Bacterial small subunit ribosomal RNA
Source: RNAcentral